Megalobrama amblycephala (Wuchang bream) is the source of this 568-nucleotide long non-coding RNA. RefSeq lists it as uncharacterized. NCBI's taxonomy places the organism in Eukaryota, Metazoa, Chordata, Actinopteri, Cypriniformes, Xenocyprididae. The record is from RefSeq and is a predicted model, not a curated record. The transcript is spliced from 3 exons.
UUUUAAGUCCUUCCUUUUUGUCAAGCUGUUGCCCACACUCCAGUCCAGUAGGUGGCGGUAAAUGCACCUUAAGUUGGUUUGCCAUCCGCCAAUAAAAAUCAAAAGAAGAAGAAGAAGAAGAUGUCGGAUGAUUCAGCUUUCUGCCUCAGAUGAUGGAUGUCGAGGAACAAAUUACAGUUACUCUAACAAUUUUACACAGAGUGCUUGCAACUGUCUUCAUAGACGGAAAAGAAAUAUGGAGAAAACUAUUCACAGUUGGAAGUAUCGGAGAACUGAUAGCCUCAGCCAAAACUGAGCUGUCUCAACAAGUAUCUCUUGAUCGAAUACUGAGAUUUGACACAGAUUUUCAAGAAUUCAUUGACACUGAUGUGAAUGCUGGAGUGCGGGAGCUUGACAAAUUUCAAAUACAUUAUAUUGCAAGCAACACCCAGGAUAUAUUAGAAGGAAGUGUUCAACCAUUACAGUGUCAUUCAUCAGAUGUAACUCGGACUGGCACCCCAACUGGAUUGCUAACACUGCUUGAAGAAAAAAACCCUACAAUCCUGAGAGAACACAAAGAGACAAAGAC